RNAcentral lists this long non-coding RNA (2407 nucleotides) under Sus scrofa (pig). RNAcentral's name for it is "lncRNA (ENSSSCG00050049688.1)". Lineage: Eukaryota; Metazoa; Chordata; Mammalia; Artiodactyla; Suidae. The record is from RNAcentral.
GAAAAGAGUAAUAAUGCGAGUUAGCAUAAUGCGGUACACCUGCACACCCGUUCACCAGGCGAGCUUGGCUGCCAGCUACGGGGAGAAAGCUCAGGUCCGAAGGCACAUCUUCAUUUCCAUCGCUGAUUGGACCUGGGAACCUCCAAGGCAGCCCUGUGGGAGCUGCAGAGGCCCUCAGGGGGCCCCAGAGGAAGACCCUGCCUGCUCAACGGGAGGGUGGCUCCAGAGUGACGCCAGGGGACCGAGUGUCAGCCGGGAAGGGACCAUAGGAAAACCCAUGAGUCAGCAGAAGCCUUGAGGCAGACAGAUGGAGAAGAUGGGGCGAGAGAAGCCGCUGCAGGUAAACAGGGACCUGGGUAAACUGAGUCAUGUGUCAGGCAGACACGUGCCAGGUGGGACCCAGCACGUGCCCACCUGCUUCUGAGGGAUCCAGAAUCAUCUCCCUGCUGCUGUGGGAUCCAGAACAAUCUUCCUGUUCUCCUUGAGGUUCCAUUGUCUUGAUACCUGGAGACCCUGUGUUCCUUUACUUCCAGGGUGUCUGGCCUGCCAAGAAUAACAUUUGUCUCUACCCCUCGCGAUUUGGAAAGGUUGAAACAAGACUUACCUUGCAGGAUCCUUAGGAAAAUUGAUCAAAACCGUACACAGAGGGAGUUCUCAUUGUGGCUCAGGGGUAAUGAACCUGACUAAUAUCCAUGGUGAUGGGGGUUCGAUCCCUGGCCUCACUCAGUGGGUCAGGGACCUGGUGUUGCCAUGAGCUGUGGUGUAGGUCACAGACACAGCUCAGAUCCCAAGUUGCUGUGGCUGUGGCGUAGGCUGACAGCUGUAGCUUCAAUUCAACCCCUAGCCUGAGAACCUCCAUAUGCUACACCUAAGACCCUAAAAAGCAAAAAAAAAAAAAAAAAAAAAAAAAAAAAGCACACAUAGAAAAUGGGCUCCAUGUGGCCCACGUGCACAGCAGGGAAUCAGAAAGGGAGCUGCUAUUGCCAAGAAACUGAGCACAGACAGCGCUCACCUCAGAGCCCAGAGAAUUCAGGAAGCCACGCAGAAGCUAGUUAACAGCCUUGAGAGAGCUAUUUUUUCCAGCGAUACAGGCUGCAUGGACCCAACCUCUUUCUCCUGGUCUGUCCCCAUCUCAACCUUACAGCUAUAUGAACAGUAUUGUUUUGUUUUGCUUUUUAGGGCCACACCCAAGGCACAUGGAGGGCGAAUUAGAGCUGCAACUGCCGGCCUACACCACAGCCCCAGAAACUAGGGAUCCGAGCCUCAUCUGUGAUCUACACUGCAGUUCAUGGCAAUGCCAGAUCCUUACCCACUGAGCACAGCCAGGGAUCAAACCCGAAUCUUCAUGGAUACUAGUCAGGUUUGUUACCACUGAGCCAUAAUGGGAACUCCCUAAACGGUAUUUUAGAAAGAAAACACGGGAUGUAUGCUUGAACCAGGCACACUUGUGCUGGUUCCCCAUAUGAGCAGUAGCCUGAGAAUCAUUGGAUGUUAACCGAAAUGCUCAAUUUCUUGACAAUUUUGAUGUUAUUUGAGAAUAUCUGCAGAGACUAUUUGAAAAGAAAUUAGGCCUGUUGUCCUGACAACAGCAGAACACACAGUGGGAUAGCUCAAAGUCAUCUGGAUUUGUCCCUGACCUUGGCCUCCCUGGAAGAAGUGUUAGCUGAGCCCCAGGGGGCCCAGGACUGUGGUGGGCAGUUUGACAGGUUGACAAGCAAUCCCAUUGGCAGUCCAGCUGUCUUGAUGCUGGACUGAUUUCCUGUGUUUCAUUACUCCCAGUGUAUUUUUAUGUUGGUCCCCUCUCUCCUGUGGGGAACAGCAUUCACCACUACCUGGAACAGCAUUUGUCACUACUCCUUCCAACCUGGAAGAGUCAAAUGUUGGGCUUAGUGGUUCAGCUCAACUUUUCAAAGGAAAAAACAGGGUCAGAGAGGUUAGGGGGCCAGUCAAGUGAGUAGUAAGCCCUGGAACUGGGAUUCCAACUCAUAUCUGCUUGAUUCCUUCCUGUCACGCCCAGGUAUUUCUGAUGGAAAUAGCAAAACCCAGGAUAUUGCAGCACACACAGGCUGAGUUCUAGCCACAACCUGGUUCUUACAUCACACAGACUCAUUUUGAACCUGAAGGAGGAAAGUGGAAAAAUGCCAAAUUGGUUUGGGAAGGGGUGGGGAGAGGAAAUGUGUGUGGGGGGGGGUGAGGUGAAAAUGUUCUUUCUCUGCUGUGUCAUUAGGGGAACAGAAAGGGGUAAUCGUCUCAUUUUUCUUAACAGAAGCAACACAGGAAGAAAAGCAUUCAUUAAAACACUGCAUCACUGCACACUUUAGAAAGGAAGCAGCAACUCAUUUCAGUUCUGCAGGAGAAAUUUUUGCAAAUGAAUAAAGAGGGGUAGUUAAUAGGUUUUGUUUGUUUG